AUCAAGUCCUUUCUGAAUGUCCUGAUAAGCAUGGCAGAAUUUUGUUUGUCAGAAGAAAAGACACUUUCAGAGAGAUGGUGCUUACAAAAUAAUAACUUCUAUAAUUUAAAAAAUUACUUGCAAAUGCAGAAAAUUAACCACAUUCCACGUCUUUCUUCUGCCAUUAACAUACAUAUGCAUAUCCAUAGUUGGUAAAUCCAUAACAACCAACACAAGAUUUAUUUCUUAUAUAAUAGCAGUUCAGCAUACCUGGGGUAGGGCAUCUCGCCUCG
This 272-nucleotide unclassified non-coding RNA is filed under the name Hevea brasiliensis (rubber tree). Lineage: Eukaryota; Viridiplantae; Streptophyta; Magnoliopsida; Malpighiales; Euphorbiaceae. The record is from RNAcentral.